RNAcentral lists this long non-coding RNA (374 nucleotides) under Homo sapiens (human). RNAcentral describes it as "HSALNT0348984". Lineage: Eukaryota; Metazoa; Chordata; Mammalia; Primates; Hominidae. The record is from RNAcentral.
UUACCUCACAGUAGGAAUUGGAAACAACUUAAUUUACUUGGAAACCACAUUCUGAUAAAGCAAGGCACCUGAACUUGCUGUGCUAUACUCUCAACCAGAAGAUUAAAGAGUCAGCCAACAUGGACAGAGAUAGAUAGCGGAACUGACAGGAACAGAAAACCAAAUGCCGCAUGUUCUAGCUUAUAAGUGGGAGCUAAACAUUGAGUACACAGGGACACAAAGAAGAAAAUGACAGACACUGAGGCCUACUUGAUAGUGGACAGUGGGAAGGAGGGUAAGGACUGAAAAACUACCUGUCAGAAUACCCGGGAGAAGUUUCCUUUCCCUAAAUAUACCUGCAAUUUUCAAGUCCUUUUAAUUCACGCCUUUAAAUG